UGGGGGAUUUUGCACAAUGGGCGCAAGCCUGAUGCAGCGACGCCGCGUGAGGGAUGAAGGCCUUCGGGUUGUAAACCUCUUUCGCUGGGUUGAAAGGCCAUGCUUGGGGUGUGGUUGAUUUGAACUGGUAAAGAAGUACCGGCUAACUACGUGCCAGCAGCCGCGGUAAUACGUAGGGUACUAGCGUUGUCCGGAUUUAUUGGGCGUAAAGGGCUUGUAGGUGGUUUGUCGCGUCUGUCGUGAAAUCCUGUGGCUUAACCAUGGGCUUGCGGUGGGUACGGGCAGGCUUGAGUGCGGUAGGGGAGACUGGAAUUCCUGGUGUAGCGGUGGAAUGCGCAGAUAUCAGGAGGAACACCGGUGGCGAAGGCGGGUCUCUGGGCCGUUACUGACACUGAGGAGCGAAAGCGUGGGGAGCGAACAGG
This 422-nucleotide ribosomal RNA is filed under the name Fusobacteriota bacterium. RNAcentral describes it as "Fusobacteria bacterium partial 16S ribosomal RNA". It matches the Rfam family "Bacterial small subunit ribosomal RNA", at positions 355 to 776 of the family's 1533-position model. Lineage: Bacteria; Fusobacteriati; Fusobacteriota. The record is from RNAcentral.